UCGGGAAUUUUGGGCAAUGGGCGAAAGCCUGACCCAGCAACGCCGCGUGAAGGAUGAAGUAUUUCGGUAUGUAAACUUCGUAAGAAUAGGAAGAAUAAAUGACGGUACUAUUUGUAAGGUCCGGCUAACUACGUGCCAGCAGCCGCGGUAAUACGUAGGGACCAAGCGUUGUUCGGAUUUACUGGGCGUAAAGGGCGCGUAGGCGGUGUGUCAAGUCAGUUGUGAAAUCUCCGAGCUUAACUCGGAGCGGUCAACUGAUACUGUCACACUAGAGUACAGAAGGGGCAAUCGGAAUUCUUGGUGUAGCGGUGAAAUGCGUAGAUAUCAAGAGGAACACCUGAGGCGAAGGCGGUUGCUGGGCUGAUACUGACGCUGAGGCGCGAAAGCUAGGGUAGCAAACGGGAUUAGAUACCCCCGUAGUCCCUGAGCGGGCUGGCAAGGCGCAU
Molecule: ribosomal RNA, 446 nt
Filed under: uncultured bacterium
Lineage: Bacteria
Description: bacterial SSU rRNA
Rfam family: Bacterial small subunit ribosomal RNA
Source: RNAcentral